UACUUACUGAAAUAUAAACAUUUCAUGUUUAUUUUAGUACCUAUUUUGGCUUCAAUUGAAAUAUAAUUUUAAUUUUGAUAUUCUUAUCUUCCUAAACACGAUCAACCUCAACUUUAAUAUUCCUACUUUAAAGGAUCGCUUCGACUUUUAACAUUAUUACAUUGGUAAACGAUAUCGUCUUUACUAAUGAUAUCGUUAAUCCAAAAGUUUGGCCAAUAUAAUAAAAAUACAAACUUAUUUGGGAACAUUUAAAAGGCAGACAUCCAACAAAAAUAAUUAAAGUAUAUAGGUUCGAUUGUGGUACGUUUUAAAAAACAAGAAAUACUUUUGCUGAUAUUUAUCUAGAACUACGUCGUUAUAUUUUACAUUACUGCUACACUACAUUACUACAUUCCACGUUCCACAUUUGUACAUUUUAUAUUUUUCACGUACAAUUAGAUCACAACAUCCUAUAUCACUACACUAUUGAUUACUUUGUUCUUAGUAAUAACGCAAUACCUUAUUCUUAAUUACAGAGUAAUGAAAAGGUAUCCCAAAUCUAAUGUAGUUAAAAAUACCUAAAAGUAACGAAAAAGUAAUUACAACUACUUCAAGGUAUUUUUAACUACUUUAGAUUCGAGACGCCUUUUAACUACUUUCUGGACAGUUACAAGUAGUUAUUAAAAAGUUUAUUGGAUUGCUAGCAGUAGUUAAGUAAUCGCAAAUACCAAUUACACGCGACAGAGUAAUUGUAAUGGCAAGUUAAUUAAGAAUUUACAGCUCUGCUAAAAAUAUGAAAUAUUCUAACGUAAAGUGUUGAACUGUCAAAAAUGCAGAAUCCAACAUAUACAGUGCGCAAUGUAUAUGGAAUACAAGAAUGAAUAAUGUAGAGUACGAUACAAUCCGAAAUACUCGAUCGACGAUUCCUAGGAUGAAUACAUCAAUUGACGUAGAUACAUCAUUUUAGAAUGAAUUAUAAUCGCAAUCUCUAUUCGCACAAUACACAUCCAAUUCAACGUCUAAUUAAAAUUAAAACUCGCUGCGUUGCGUGUCGUAUCCUUCGGAAUCGGUAUCAGGUGACUCUGCGCAUGCGUAACAGAUCUUUCGACGAUUCCUAGGAUGAAUACAUCAAUUGACGCGAAUACAUCAUUUUAGAAUGAAUUAUAAUCGCAAUCUCUAUUCGCACAAUACGCAUCCAAUUCAACGUCUAAUUAAAAUUAAAACUCGCUGCGUUGCGUGUCGUAUCCUUCGGAAUCGGUAUCAGGUGACUCUGCGCAUGCGUAACAGAUCUUUCCAACGUCCCUCC
This is a long non-coding RNA of Hylaeus volcanicus, 1285 nucleotides long. RefSeq lists it as uncharacterized. The record is from RefSeq and is a predicted model, not a curated record. The transcript is spliced from 2 exons. Lineage: Eukaryota; Metazoa; Arthropoda; Insecta; Hymenoptera; Colletidae.